RNAcentral lists this ribosomal RNA (520 nucleotides) under uncultured Glomus. Its description in RNAcentral is "SSU rRNA". It matches the Rfam family "Eukaryotic small subunit ribosomal RNA", at positions 569 to 1091 of the family's 1831-position model. The record is from RNAcentral. Lineage: Eukaryota; Fungi; Glomeromycota; Glomeromycetes; Glomerales; Glomeraceae.
AGCAGCCGCGGUAAUUCCAGCUCCAAUAGCGUAUAUUAAAGUUGUUGCAGUUAAAAAGCUCGUAGUUGAAUUUCGGGAUCAAUUUAUUGGUCGUGCUAUUGUACGUACUGGUAUUAUUGAUUCCUACCUUCUGACGAACCAUGAUGUCAUUAAUUUGGUGUCAUGGGGAAUCAGGACUGUUACUUUGAAAAAAUUAGAGUGUUUAAAGCAGGCUCACGCUUGAAUACAUUAGCAUGGAAUAACGAAAUAGGACGUUUGAUUCUAUUUUGUUGGUUUCUAGGAUCGACGUAAUGAUUAAUAGGGAUAGUUGGGGGCAUUAGUAUUCAAUUGUCAGAGGUGAAAUUCUUGGAUUUAUUGAAGACUAACUACUGCGAAAGCAUUUGCCAAGGAUGUUUUCAUUAAUCAAGAACGAAAGUUAGGGGAUCGAAGACGAUCAGAUACCGUCGUAGUCUUAACCAUAAACUAUGCCGACUAGGGAUCGGAUGAUGUUAAUUUUUUAAUGACUCAUUCGGCGCCUUAA